UACGUAGGGGGCAAGCGUUGUCCGGAUUUAUUGGGCGUAAAGAGCGUGUAGGCGGUUCGGUAGGUCCGUUGUGAAAACUCGAGGCUCAACCUCGAGACGCCGAUGGAAACCCUCGAACUAGAGUCCGGAAGAGGAGAAUGGAAUUCCUGGUGUAGCGGUGAAAUGCGCAGAUAUCAGGAAGAACACCCGUGGCUGAGGCGGUUCUCUAGUACGGUACUGACGCUGAGACGCGAAAGCGUGGGGAGCGAACAGG
Molecule: ribosomal RNA, 253 nt
Filed under: uncultured bacterium
Lineage: Bacteria
Description: partial 16S ribosomal RNA
Rfam family: Bacterial small subunit ribosomal RNA
Source: RNAcentral